This 433-nucleotide ribosomal RNA is filed under the name uncultured bacterium. Its description in RNAcentral is "partial 16S ribosomal RNA". It matches the Rfam family "Bacterial small subunit ribosomal RNA", at positions 29 to 507 of the family's 1533-position model. The record is from RNAcentral.
AACGAACGCUGGCGGCAUGCCUAACACAUGCAAGUCGAACGAGACCUUCGGGUCUAGUGGCGCACGGGUGCGUAACGCGUGGGAACCUGCCCUUAGGUUCGGAAUAACUCCCCGAAAGGGGUGCUAAUACCGGAUAAUGUCUUCGGACCAAAGAUUUAUCGCCUUUGGAUGGGCCUGCGUUGGAUUAGCUAGUUGGUAGGGUAAAAGCCUACCAAGGCGAGGAUCCAUAGCUGGUCUGAGAGGAUGAGCAGCCACACUGGGACUGGGACACGGCCCAGACUCCUACGGGAGGCAGCAGUGGGGAAUAUUGGAAAAUGGGCGGAAGCCUGAUCCAGCAAUGACGCGUGAGUGAUGAAGGCCUUAGGGUUGUAAAGCUCGUUUACCCGGGAUGAUAAUGACAGUACCGGGAGAAUAAGCACCGGCUAACUCCGUG